Molecule: ribosomal RNA, 198 nt
Filed under: uncultured bacterium
Lineage: Bacteria
Description: partial 16S ribosomal RNA
Rfam family: Bacterial small subunit ribosomal RNA
Source: RNAcentral
ACGCUCGACACCUACUGGAGGCAGCAGUGGGGAAUAUUGCACAAUGGGGAAACCCUGAUGCAGCGACGCCGCGUGAGCGAAGAAGUAUUUCGGUAUGUAAAGCUCUAUCAGCAGGGAAGAAAGUGACGGUACCUGACUAAGAAGCACCGGCUAAAUACGUGCCAGCAGCCGCGGUAAUCUGAGGCGGGCUGGCAAGGC